RNAcentral lists this transfer RNA (93 nucleotides) under Candidatus Woesearchaeota archaeon. RNAcentral describes it as "tRNA-Gly". It matches the Rfam family "tRNA". From Rfam's summary of the family: Transfer RNA (tRNA) molecules are approximately 80 nucleotides in length. Their secondary structure includes four short double-helical elements and three loops (D, anti-codon, and T loops). Further hydrogen bonds mediate the characteristic L-shaped molecular structure. tRNAs have two regions of fundamental functional importance: the anti-codon, which is responsible for specific mRNA codon recognition, and the 3' end, to which the tRNAs corresponding amino acid is attached (by aminoacyl-tRNA synthetases). tRNAs cope with the degeneracy of the genetic code in two manners: having more than one tRNA (with a specific anti-codon) for a particular amino acid; and 'wobble' base-pairing, i.e. permitting non-standard base-pairing at the 3rd anti-codon position. Lineage: Archaea; Nanobdellati; Candidatus Woesearchaeota. The record is from RNAcentral.
GCGAUCGUAGUUAAAUGGUAUAAUACGGCCUUGCCAAGAAUUUUAUGAAAACGCAAAUAGGCUGUGUCGCGGGUUCGAUUCCCGCCGAUCGCA